GGUGCCUGCGGAAGGAUCAUUACCUAGAGUUUGCAGACUUCGGUCUGCUACCUCUUACCCAUGUCUUUUGAGUACCUUCGUUUCCUCGGCGGGUCCGCCCGCCGGUUGGACAACAUUCAAACCCUUUGCAGUUGCAAUCAGCGUCUGAAAAAACAUAAUAGUUACAACUUUCAACAACGGAUCUCUUGGUUCUGGCAUCGAUGAAGAACGCAGCGAAAUGCGAUAAGUAGUGUGAAUUGCAGAAUUCAGUGAAUCAUCGAAUCUUUGAACGCACAUUGCGCCCCUUGGUAUUCCAUGGGGCAUGCCUGUUCGAGCGUCAUUUGUACCUUCAAGCUCUGCUUGGUGUUGGGUGUUUUGUCUCGCCUCCGCGUGUAGACUCGCCUUAAAACAAUUGGCAGCCGGCGUAUUGAUUUCGGAGCGCAGUACAUCUCGCGCUUUGCACUCAUAACGACGACGUCCAAAAGUACAUUUUUACACUCUUGACCUCGGAUCAGGUAGGGAUACCCGCUGAACUUAAGCAUAUCAAAAACCCGGAGGAA
RNAcentral lists this ribosomal RNA (539 nucleotides) under Epicoccum sp. Liaoning-Rsfb008. RNAcentral's name for it is "eukaryotic LSU rRNA". The stretch from base 166 to 319 matches the Rfam family "5.8S ribosomal RNA". The record is from RNAcentral. Lineage: Eukaryota; Fungi; Ascomycota; Dothideomycetes; Pleosporales; Didymellaceae.